AAGCAAGCAGGUCUACAUCGUGUACCUGGGGCACCUACCUAGCACGGAUGCGUCGUCAGAGCCUGAAGGUUCCUCUGCUGUAGAGUUUACUCAUCACGACCUGCUGAACCAGGUCCUGGACGAUAUAUAUAAUCCCCAAUGAUGCAUGCAGCCACUCCGAUGAACACACCGCCGGGAAACUCCAACACGACCGCGCUCAAGUACGGCGCCGGCGGGGAAUAAUAACUUCUCCGUGGUCUUCCCGCGCACUGCCACCUAGGUCGGGGCUGCGGCCGCCGUGUAUAUAUGACGUGAUGGUCGUGUUUGAGGCAUAGUUAUUAG
This 321-nucleotide long non-coding RNA is filed under the name Sorghum bicolor (sorghum). RNAcentral's name for it is "long non-coding RNA (SBIC_LNC002000)". The record is from RNAcentral. Lineage: Eukaryota; Viridiplantae; Streptophyta; Magnoliopsida; Poales; Poaceae.